This 698-nucleotide ribosomal RNA is filed under the name uncultured bacterium. RNAcentral describes it as "bacterial SSU rRNA". It matches the Rfam family "Bacterial small subunit ribosomal RNA", at positions 28 to 774 of the family's 1533-position model. The record is from RNAcentral.
AACGAACGCUGGCGGCAGGCCUAACACAUGCAAGUCGAGCGAGCGUCUUCGGGCGCUAGCGGCGGACGGGUGAGUAACGCGUGGGAACGUGCCCUUUGCUACGGAAUAGCCCUGGGAAACUGGGAGUAAUACCGUAUGUGCCCUUUGGGGGAAAGAUUUAUCGGCAAAGGAUCGGCCCGCGUUGGAUUAGGUAGUUGGUGGGUAAUGGCCUACCAAGCCGACGAUCCAUAGCUGGUUUGAGAGGAUGAUCAGCCACACUGGGACUGAGACACGGCCCAGACUCCUACGGGAGGCAGCAGUGGGGAAUCUUAGACAAUGGGCGCAAGCCUGAUCUAGCCAUGCCGCGUGAGCGAUGAAGGCCCCUAGGGUUGUAAAGCUCUUUCGGGGGGAAGAUAUGACGUACCCCAGAAGAAGCCCGGCUAACUCCGUGCCAGCAGCCGCGGUAAUACGGAGGGGGCUAGCGUUGUUCGGAAUUACUGGGCGUAAAGCGCACGUAGGCGGAUUGGAAAGUCAGGGGUGAAAUCCCGGGGGCUCAACCCCGGAACUGCCUUUGAAACUCCCAGUCUUGAGGUCGAGAGAGGUGAGUGGAAUUCCGAGUGUAGAGGUGAAAUUCGUAGAUAUUCGGAGGAACACCAGUGGCGAAGGCGGCUCACUGGCUCGAUACUGACGCUGAGGUGCGAAAGCGUGGGGAGCAAACA